This is a long non-coding RNA of Gallus gallus (chicken), 1832 nucleotides long. Lineage: Eukaryota; Metazoa; Chordata; Aves; Galliformes; Phasianidae. The record is from Ensembl.
AGGGCAGGAGCCCCAAAGGAUGAUGCAAAGGGUGAUGUCCAUAGAAUGCUCAUUCAAUGGAAGGAUGCCACACAGGGGUUGGCUGUGGAUCCACCAGUCAGGUGUUGCUCCUCUUGCCCCUGGUGCGUUGGUAUUCUGCUGGGGCAGUGCUAAUGUCUAGAUAGUACUUCCUGAAGCACAGCCUCCUUUUCAGUGCUUCCUCGUUUCAAGUAGCAAUCUAAUUCAAGCAGUCCUGGUUACACAUCAGGCCUAAGUAUGUCAUUAUAUGUGCGGUUUCCAGCAAUUGUAAGCUAUGUUCUGUAAAGCUUUGUUGUGCAAUGAAGGUGACAGAAAAGGGAUUUUAACCAUUGCUUUUACGUGCUUCCGAGGACAGUGAUGCUUCUUGCCUUCAGCCAGGCUAUUCCAUCAAGAGAAAGUCAAAGACAAUGUGCCUUUGUUUUAUUGAGUGCUUACUCCCUUCAUGAAUGUGAUUAGACCACUCCGUCUGGCACUGCAGCUUGUGCACUGCAUUGUCCCAGCUCUGCCAUUAUUCCUCCUUUCUUUGCCCAUCAAGAAACAAGAACAACUGGUCCAAAGGCACAACCAGCAUCCAUCUGCUAUUCCCAGUGCUCGUCGAACAUGAAAACAAAUCAUUUGCUUUGGUGUCCAAAGCACUGAAUGUCAGAACAUAACUCAGUCGAGUUGUAGGGGUUUUGCUUUUCAGCUGAACCAUGGGAAUGAGCAGCGUGCAGCCUCCUAACCUGAUGCAUGGGGACACAGAAGGAAACAAAAUGGAAAGGGAGAAGCCAUAGAAACUCAGGUCGGCAGAAGACUGAUGCCCUUCAACAUCAUGCACAGGAAGGCUGAGCACAGCUGGGACAGAAAGCACCUCUUGCUUCUCAGUGUUGAGGUACGCUGCAUAUUCUUCAGCCUGGCUCAAGAAGGAUUACCGCAACAAAAACAAGGUAUACGUCUGGGGAGAUAGUGGCUAGAUUUAUUCAGGCUUUUGGAAAGUUAAGGCCUCGUUCAAAUGCACACUUCUGUUUUGUUUUUUUUCUGAGACAGUCAACAGUGUAAUCGCUCCAUGCAUUUUGAAUAACAUGAGAACCUCAGACUGACUCACUGUUUCCUAUUUCACUAGCUUGGGACAGGAUGCAAAGCUUAUAAACACAUUCCGUUUGAGUCUCUAUACAACGUGAAGGUCCUUGCUCAAGUUUACAAGCCCACAUUGUUUCAAAUCCCUAGAAUGACUCUUCAAGGUUCCGCCCAUACAUAAGCAGCUUUCUUCUCUCUGUCACUGUAUUUAUGCUUAAGAUUCUAUCUGACUGGUGAGAUAGAAAUAUCUACAUGUCAGUAACUCAAAAAAAGAGAAGGAAUGUGGAUCUCAAACUGAAUCCUUAGAAGAACUCUUGUUGUUUAGGAGCACUCUGCAACUCCAGGUGAGGAGUUUACAAAGCCAAGGAGCAACCACAGCCAACAAAAACAUCCAAGAGCAGCUUUUACAUACAUUACUGAGACCUGAGUAAUUGCUCAAGACAGUGAACCAGCUAAUAAGGAAGCAGAAAUGCUAAAUCAUGGCUUGAAACAGUGAUUGAACACCUGGUGGGAAGGCAGGGCCAGCCCUGGGGAGCUCAGGUGCACGCAAUGUGCCUGAGUGACCAGGAGGGGUGGAGCCAGGAUCCACCUCUUCCCAGACCUCAUUUAAGGGUUGGCAGUGGGGGUAUGGGUAUCUUGCUGGAGAUCCCUGUGUACCUGAGGCCUUCUCAAGGUAAGCAGCUUCUUUAUUUCUAUGCCUACAGCUGUUGCGUUUGAGCAAGCCCUCACUUGCUGUAGCCUGGGACCUUUCUAUUGUG